Molecule: ribosomal RNA, 576 nt
Filed under: Salmonella enterica
Lineage: Bacteria; Pseudomonadati; Pseudomonadota; Gammaproteobacteria; Enterobacterales; Enterobacteriaceae
Also listed under: 3 other names
Description: partial 23S ribosomal RNA
Rfam family: Bacterial large subunit ribosomal RNA
Source: RNAcentral
GUGGACGCCAGUCUGCGUGGAGCCGACCUUGAAAUACCACCCUUUAAUGUUUGAUGUUCUAACGUGGACCCGUAAUCCGGGUUGCGGACAGUGUCUGGUGGGUAGUUUGACUGGGGCGGUCUCCUCCUAAAGAGUAACGGAGGAGCACGAAGGUUGGCUAAUCCUGGUCGGACAUCAGGAGGUUAGUGCAAUGGCAUAAGCCAGCUUGACUGCGAGCGUGACGGCGCGAGCAGGUGCGAAAGCAGGUCAUAGUGAUCCGGUGGUUCUGAAUGGAAGGGCCAUCGCUCAACGGAUAAAAGGUACUCCGGGGAUAACAGGCUGAUACCGCCCAAGAGUUCAUAUCGACGGCGGUGUUUGGCACCUCGAUGUCGGCUCAUCACAUCCUGGGGCUGAAGUAGGUCCCAAGGGUAUGGCUGUUCGCCAUUUAAAGUGGUACGCGAGCUGGGUUUAGAACGUCGUGAGACAGUUCGGUCCCUAUCUGCCGUGGGCGCUGGAGAACUGAGGGGGGCUGCUCCUAGUACGAGAGGACCGGAGUGGACGCAUCACUGGUGUUCGGGUUGUCAUGCCAAUGGCACU